AUUGAACGCUGGCGGCAGGCCUAACACAUGCAAGUCGAGCGAGAGGCGGACGGGUGAGUAAUGUAUGGGGAUCUGCCCGAUAGAGGGGGAUAACUACUGGAAACGGUGGCUAAUACCGCAUACUAUCGGAUGAACCCAUAUGGGAUUAGCUAGUAGGUGGGGUAAAGGCACACCUAGGCGACGAUCCCGAGCUGGUCUGAGAGGAUGACCAGCCACACUGGGACUGAGACACGGCCCAGACUCCUACGGGAGGCAGCAGUGGGGAAUAUUGCACAAUGGGCGCAACCCUGAUGCAGCCAUGCCGCGUGUAUGAAGAAGGCCUUAGGGUUGUAAAGUACUUUCAGCGGGGAGGCGUUACCCGCAGAAGAAGCACCGGCUAACUCCGUGCCAGCAGCCGCGGUAAUUC
RNAcentral lists this ribosomal RNA (406 nucleotides) under uncultured bacterium. Its description in RNAcentral is "partial 16S ribosomal RNA". It matches the Rfam family "Bacterial small subunit ribosomal RNA", at positions 30 to 526 of the family's 1533-position model. The record is from RNAcentral.